CCAAAUUGCACCCUAAGGAAAAAUGUCGGAGAGUUCGACAGAUUCAAAUUGCAGUCAUCGUUACUGCGAGUGUGGGUCAGAAAUCAAACGUCGGACUUCACGGAUGGAUCUGAAUCCUGGAAGAAGAUUUGAGGCAUGUUGCAAUAAUUGGAACACUAAAAGGGGGUUGCAUUUUUUUUGAAUGGAUGGAGAAUGAAACAUGCCCACGAGGAAAGGAAAUCUUGCAUGGGUUACUUAGAAGACUAAGACGAAUUGAGAGCAACGGCGGAGAACUUCAGAUUGAUGGAAGAAGAAAGGAAUAAAUUAGAGCAAAAACUGAGAGAAGUGGAAGAAGAAAUCAAGAUUUUGGAAAAACAAAUUCUAGGAAUGGGUAAACAAGUUGUUGUACUAGAAGGGGAAAUUUUGAGUUAUCGACAAAGACAAAGAUGGUUGUGGGUUGUUGUUCUGUUGUGUUUUAUGUUUGUAAUAUUGGUCAUCAAUAUGGAUGAAUUGGUAGUGUGGAAA
This is a non-coding RNA of Prunus avium (sweet cherry), 504 nucleotides long. NCBI's taxonomy places the organism in Eukaryota, Viridiplantae, Streptophyta, Magnoliopsida, Rosales, Rosaceae. The record is from RefSeq and is a predicted model, not a curated record.